AUGACAAUUGAUGUAAAUGAAGUGGAGCAGUCGCUAUCAGGAGACAACCCGUCCCCAACAUGGCCGUGUGAGGUUCAUGGCAGCGCACAAAUUGAAGACAAGUUAAAUUUUUUUAACAAAGCCAUGCUGAAAAUGAGACUGGAGGAGGAAAGGACGAUACUUGAUCAGGAGAUGGCCCAGCACUGCUUAUGGUUGCAGAAGUUGCAGGCAACUCUUAAAAGAAAAACUUCAGAGGAAGAAAUGCGAAACAAGGGCCUUUCCUGUCUCUGCAGAAGACGAUUGUCUGAAGUUUCGGAUAUGUUGAAAGACGUGCUCCUUCAGUACAAGGCCGUUUUAGGCCCUCAGGGCUCUGCUUUAGAACUGGAAGAUGAGAAUGAAAGUGAUUUCAGCAGUCCAGACACCAGUGAUAAUGAAGAGGAGGAAUGCAGGAAAGAGCUACCAGGCAGGUGUCUGUAAUUGCUUGAUUGCGGCCAGGGCAGAGUAAAAGGACUUCAUGGCUGCAAUUCCGGGUUCCUGUAUCACAUUGUUUUGCUUUUUUCAUCUCACAUAUUUACUGUAAUAAAUAACUUUAUUUUUUGCAUCUUCAUCCACGUGUGGUCUCACAUUUCAUGUUGCAACAAAAGAAAUCUACAUUUUUCCAGCCUUAUGCUCCGCCUCCUGACAACACACAAGCAGCUGGAGGUCUAAAAUUUAUAUAAACAGGUGUAUCAUUCUCAGUAUCAAAAUAUGUGCCACAUGAUGACAUUUAAUGAAAUAAUGGUUGUAACACUUACCUAGGCCUGUCUGGCCAAUAUGGGUGUCUGAAAUGUAGUUUAAGUAUAUCCGGUGCAUCAAGUCAGUGUCAAGUCGGGUCAGUGAAAUUGGGUUUAUCUGAGCAAAAAAACGCCUCUUUUUAUACUAAUCAAUCAUUUUAAUGGUUUGUGUAUGAUUUCAGACCUUUUCUUUAUCAACAUAUGUCAGCUCUCUGAACGGUAGUUUUUGAAGAUUUGUUGUGCCUCAAAAGUCCCACAGCACCUAAGAUAAGCAUAAUUAGGUUUGUUUCACCACAGCACACCUCUGUGUAUCACAAUCAAUCAAAAUAUAGACUUUUUAAUGAUUUUUGUAUGAUUUCAGAACUUUUGUUGACCAACAUGUAAAACAUAUGCUCUCUGAAUGGUAGUUUUAGAAGUUUUUUUGUGGAUUAAAUGCGCAUAAAACAUACAUCAAAUGUGUAUGCUAAUACAGAGCAGCACUACAGGCAUGCAUGAGAUUGAUGAAUUGGACAGUCAGUUCAUCAAUAUAGAAUAUGGGGCUAUGUAUGCAGUAUGAUGCACCGUAGUAAGCAGGAAGCUAGAACGUCUUAUUUCAUAUGAAUAGACAUGACUGGCUUUUAGAAUAUGGGUUACAGUUUACAUAGCCCCAUAUUGUAGCAGGUUACAGGUGGUACAUAUUGGCCUAUUUACCAUCGAGGGACAGCUGAUUCCAUCACCAAAACCAUAUAUUUUUAAAAAAGCCUGUAGCCUGUAAAUGUUCUGUCAAUGGUUGGAGAUUUGUUUUUUUGGUGUUUAAACUCUGUUUAGAGGUCAGUAAAACCUAUA
Molecule: long non-coding RNA, 1577 nt
Organism: Carassius auratus (goldfish)
Lineage: Eukaryota; Metazoa; Chordata; Actinopteri; Cypriniformes; Cyprinidae
Source: Ensembl